CCUACGGGGGGCUGCAGUGGGGAAUAUUGGACAAUAGGGGGAACCCUGAUCCAGCCAUGCCGCGUGUGUGAAGAAGGCCCUCGGGUUGUAAAGCACUUUCAGUGAGGAAGAACGCCUGGUGGUGAAUACCCAUCAGGAAAGACAUCACUCACAGAAGAAGCACCGGCUAACUCCGUGCCAGCAGCCGCGGUAAUACGGAGGGUGCGAGCGUUAAUCGGAAUUACUGGGCGUAAAGCGCGCGUAGGUGGCUUGAUAAGCCGGUUGUGAAAGCCCCGGGCUCAACCUGGGAACGGCAUCCGGAACUGUCAAGCUAGAGUGCAGGAGAGGAAGGUAGAAUUCCCGGUGUAGCGGUGAAAUGCGUAGAGAUCGGGAGGAAUACCAGUGGCGAAGGCGGCCUUCUGGACUGACACUGACACUGAGGUGCGAAAGCGUGGGUAGCAAACAGGAUUAGAUACCCUGGUAGUC
This 465-nucleotide ribosomal RNA is filed under the name Vreelandella stevensii. RNAcentral describes it as "partial 16S ribosomal RNA". It matches the Rfam family "Bacterial small subunit ribosomal RNA", at positions 338 to 795 of the family's 1533-position model. The record is from RNAcentral. Lineage: Bacteria; Pseudomonadati; Pseudomonadota; Gammaproteobacteria; Oceanospirillales; Halomonadaceae.